This 440-nucleotide ribosomal RNA is filed under the name uncultured bacterium. RNAcentral describes it as "partial 16S ribosomal RNA". It matches the Rfam family "Bacterial small subunit ribosomal RNA", at positions 338 to 795 of the family's 1533-position model. The record is from RNAcentral.
CCUACGGGAGGCAGCAGUGGGGAAUAUUGCACAAUGGGGGAAACCCUGAUGCAGCAACGCCGCGUGAGUGAAGAAGUAUUUCGGUAUGUAAAGCUCUAUCAGCAGGGAAGAAGAUGACGGUACCUGAUUAAGAAGCCCCGGCUAACUACGUGCCAGCAGCCGCGGUAAUACGUAGGGGGCAAGCGUUAUCCGGAUUUACUGGGUGUAAAGGGAGCGCAGACGGCAGUGCAAGUCUGGAGUGAAAGCCCGGGGCCCAACCCCGGAACUGCUCUGGAAACUGUGCGGCUAGAGUACUGGAGGGGCAGGCGGAAUUCCUAGUGUAGCGGUGAAAUGCGUAGAUAUUAGGAGGAACUCCGAUUGCGAAGGCAGCUCACUGGACUGCAACUGACACUGAGGCUCGAAAGUGUGGGUAUCAAACAGGAUUAGAUACCCGUGUAGUC